CGUAGGUGGCAAGCGUUGUCCGGAAUUAUUGGGCGUAAAGCGCGCGCAGGUGGGAUAUUAAGUCUGGUGUUAAAGUUCGGGGCUCAACCCCGUGAAGCAUUUGGAAACUGAUAUUCUUGAGUGCAGGAGAGGAAAGUGGAAUUCCUAGUGUAGCGGUGAGAUGCGUAGAUAUUAGGAGGAACACCAGUGGCGAAGGCGACUUUCUGGACUGUGUCUGACACUGAGGCGCGAAAGCCAGGGUAGUGAACGGGAUUAGAUACCCCGGUAAUCCUGGCCGUAAACGAUGGGUACUAGGUGUUGGGGGUAUCGACCCCUCCAGUGCCGGAGUUAACGCAAUAAGUACCCCGCCUGGGGAGUACGGCCGCAAGGUUG
Molecule: ribosomal RNA, 372 nt
Filed under: uncultured organism
Description: bacterial SSU rRNA
Rfam family: Bacterial small subunit ribosomal RNA
Source: RNAcentral